UGGAUGAGCAAUUGCAC
This 17-nucleotide unclassified non-coding RNA is filed under the name Mus musculus (house mouse). RNAcentral describes it as "oocyte_clustered_small_RNA11986". The record is from RNAcentral. Lineage: Eukaryota; Metazoa; Chordata; Mammalia; Rodentia; Muridae.